Molecule: ribosomal RNA, 255 nt
Filed under: uncultured bacterium
Lineage: Bacteria
Description: partial 16S ribosomal RNA
Rfam family: Bacterial small subunit ribosomal RNA
Source: RNAcentral
GACGAACCGUGCGAACGUUGUUCGGAAUCACUGGGCUUAAAGGGCGCGUAGGCGGGCUGUCAAGUCUGGGGUGAAAUCCCACGGCUCAACCCGUGGAACUGCCUCGGAUACUGACGGCCUCGAGGGAGGUAGGGGCGUGCGGAACUGUGGGUGGAGCGGUGAAAUGCGUUGAUAUCCACAGGAACUCCGGUGGCGAAGGCGGCACGCUGGACCUCUUCUGACGCUGAGGCGCGAAAGCCAGGGGAGCAAACGGGG